GAGACUGCCGGUGAUAAACCGGAGGAAGGUGGGGAUGACGUCAAGUCAUCAUGGCCCUUACGAGUAGGGCUACACACGUGCUACAAUGGCGUAUACAAAGAGAAGCGACCUCGCGAGAGCAAGCGGAACUCAUAAAGUACGUCGUAGUCCGGAUUGGAGUCUGCAACUCGACUCCAUGAAGUCGGAAUCGCUAGUAAUCGUAGAUCAGAAUGCUACGGUGAAUACGUUCCCGGGCCUUGUACACACCGCCCGUCACACCAUGGGAGUGGGUUGCAAAAGAAGUAGGUAGCUUAACCUUCGGGAGGGCGCUUACCACUUUGUGAUUCAUGACUGGGGUGAAGUCGUAACAAGGUAACCGUAGGGGAACCUGCGGUUGGAUCACCUCCUUA
This 389-nucleotide ribosomal RNA is filed under the name Providencia rettgeri. Its description in RNAcentral is "bacterial SSU rRNA". It matches the Rfam family "Bacterial small subunit ribosomal RNA", at positions 1145 to 1533 of the family's 1533-position model. The record is from RNAcentral. Lineage: Bacteria; Pseudomonadati; Pseudomonadota; Gammaproteobacteria; Enterobacterales; Morganellaceae. RNAcentral also lists the same sequence under 1 other name.